RNAcentral lists this ribosomal RNA (590 nucleotides) under uncultured Bacillus sp. RNAcentral describes it as "bacterial SSU rRNA". It matches the Rfam family "Bacterial small subunit ribosomal RNA", at positions 338 to 918 of the family's 1533-position model. The record is from RNAcentral. Lineage: Bacteria; Bacillati; Bacillota; Bacilli; Caryophanales; Bacillaceae.
CCUACGGGAGGCAGCAGUAGGGAAUCUUCCGCAAUGGACGAAAGUCUGACGGAGCAACGCCGCGUGAGCGAUGAAGGCCUUCGGGUCGUAAAGCUCUGUUGUUAGGGAAGAACAAGUACCGUUCAAAUAGGGCGGUACCUUGACGGUACCUAACCAGAAAGCCACGGCUAACUACGUGCCAGCAGCCGCGGUAAUACGUAGGUGGCAAGCGUUAUCCGGAAUUAUUGGGCGUAAAGCGCGCGCAGGCGGUCCUUUAAGUCUGAUGUGAAAGCCCACGGCUCAACCGUGGAGGGUCAUUGGAAACUGGGGGACUUGAGUGCAGAAGAGGAGAGCGGAAUUCCACGUGUAGCGGUGAAAUGCGUAGAGAUGUGGAGGAACACCAGUGGCAAAGGCGGCUCUCUGGUCUGUAACUGACGCUGAGGCGCGAAAGCGUGGGGAGCGAACAGGAUUAGAUACCCUGGUAGUCCACGCCGUAAACGAUGAGUGCUAAGUGUUAGAGGGUUUCCGCCCUUUAGUGCUGCAGCAAACGCAUUAAGCACUCCGCCUGGGGAGUACGGUCGCAAGACUGAAACUCAAAUGAAUUGACGGGG